CUGGGUCGAGCGGGGAUAACAGGGAAAUAGUGAGAUGGUUUGAGACUGUCGAAGUUUCUCAAUACAUUAUAAAACGGCAUGACAUACAAUAUAUAAUUGUAUUGAGGACCUAAGAUGUGGGUGUCAUAUUUUAUACGUCACGUAAUAUUUAAUUUUGGUGAACUAUAAUAGGGUGAAGUGAACCCGACUUUGGAAGCGUUAUUUGUUGCUGUAUUAUAUAUGGCAUUGUAAUAAUUUGAGUUUGGAUACG
Molecule: long non-coding RNA, 250 nt
Filed under: Panax ginseng (ginseng)
Lineage: Eukaryota; Viridiplantae; Streptophyta; Magnoliopsida; Apiales; Araliaceae
Description: long non-coding RNA (PGIN_LNC015766)
Source: RNAcentral